AAUGACGGUACUUGAGGAGGAAGCCCCGGCUAACUACGUGCCAGCAGCCGCGGUAAUACGUAGGGGGCUAGCGUUAUCCGGAUUUACUGGGCGUACAGGGUGCGUAGGCGGUCUUUCAAGUCAGGAGUGAAAGGCUACGGCUCAACCGUAGUAAGCUCUUGAAACUGGGAGACUGGAGUGCAGGAGAGGAGAGUGGAAUUCCUAGUGUAGCGGUGAAAUGCGUAGAUAUUAGGAGGAACACCAGUUGCGAAGGCGGCUCUCUGGACUGUAACUGACGCUGAGGCACGAAAGCGUGGGGAGCAAACAGGAUUAGAUACCCUGGUAGUCCACGCUGUAAACGAUGAGUACUAGGUGUCGGGGGUUACCCCC
Molecule: ribosomal RNA, 369 nt
Filed under: Clostridioides difficile
Lineage: Bacteria; Bacillati; Bacillota; Clostridia; Peptostreptococcales; Peptostreptococcaceae
Description: bacterial SSU rRNA
Rfam family: Bacterial small subunit ribosomal RNA
Source: RNAcentral